CAGAGGAUUUCUGUGCUGCUCUGACUGAAGUUCUAGGAACAAACCCUUUACUGCUGACAGAACUGAAUCUAAGUGGGAAAAUAACAGGAGACUCAGCAGUGAAGCAGCUCUCUCAUCUACUGAAGGAUUUACACUGCAGAACUAAGAUACUGAAGUUAAAUAACUGCAGUAUAACAGGGCAAGACUGUGCUGCUCUAUCAGCAGCUCUUUGUUCUAAUCCUUCACACCUUAUAAAGCUGGAUCUGAGUGGGAAUAAACUAGGGGACUCUGGAGUGAAAGAGAUAAAUCAUCUACUACAAAACUCAAACAGCAAACUGGAGUUGCUGAAUCUCUCAGACUGCAGUGUAUCAGAAAAAGGCUAUACUGCUCUGGCUUCAGCUUUAAAAUCAAACACUUCAUCACAUCUGAUAGA
Molecule: long non-coding RNA, 412 nt
Organism: Astyanax mexicanus (Mexican tetra)
Lineage: Eukaryota; Metazoa; Chordata; Actinopteri; Characiformes; Acestrorhamphidae
Exons: 3
Source: RefSeq, a predicted model, not a curated record